Molecule: long non-coding RNA, 312 nt
Filed under: Lotus japonicus
Lineage: Eukaryota; Viridiplantae; Streptophyta; Magnoliopsida; Fabales; Fabaceae
Description: long non-coding RNA (LJAP_LNC001369)
Source: RNAcentral
CAACGCACCACCACUCUCUCUCUCUGCUGCUGUUGAAGCUUGAAGGUUAGUUAGGAAUUGAAUACCCCCAAAUUGAAAAACCCCAAAUUGAAAACCUAAACCCCCAAAUUGAAAUGUGAAGUGAAGGGAAAUUAAAAACCCCAACUCUCUCUGUCUGCUGCUCUUGAAGCUUGAAAGUUAGGAAUUGAAAACCUAAACCCCCAAAUUGAAAUGUGAAGGGAAAUUGAAAACCCUAACGGCUAGUUUGCUACUAUUUUGUUUUGCUUUUCCUUUUGCUGAAUUUAGUUUGUGUAUAUGAAAUUGAAGUGAAAU